Long non-coding RNA from Armigeres subalbatus, 947 nucleotides. RefSeq lists it as uncharacterized. The transcript is spliced from 3 exons. NCBI's taxonomy places the organism in Eukaryota, Metazoa, Arthropoda, Insecta, Diptera, Culicidae. The record is from RefSeq and is a predicted model, not a curated record.
UCGCAAGUUUUAGAAAAACAACUUUUAUUACCAACAGUCAUAUUUACCCUCAUUACGGCACGGAUUAUAUUUAACUGCCGACGAUCCAUCAUUGUUAUCCGAUUUCGGGGAAAAUCAAUGCUUUUGGUGUAGAAAGGCAAACAUAAGCUGCUACGGAAAACACGUCAGGAUUGCUCCGAUCAGUGAACACAGUGAUUUAAAUUGGAGCCGUACAGCCGAACGGCACACGGGGUCCGGAUAUAUUCAUCUUUGUGAACCAUGGACUGGUUGAUUCGAUCUUGUGGAUAUUUUAUCACGCUGAAGCUCCAAUUGGGUGUCCGUGCUUUGCUGAGUUCAUUGAGUUGUAGAAAAAACACUGGAGAACAGAGCAAGAAAGAUCGGCAAGAGUAUUACCUUGAGGUCUACCGAUUUUAUAAAGCAUUCGUCAGCUGAUUUGCGUCACUGACAAAAGCAACCAGCUUGUAAACAUUCAUGAAGUACAGCCUCCAAAGUUACUGCUGCGGAUGCAGAAGUAAGCUCGCUGCUCACCAAUACCCGGUGAUGACCAACACAACACCAACACAUCCGAUUCAGCUAAAGGCUAGAUGCAGAAGCUUAACGGGAUCAAGGAAGCAGAGCGUUUUCACUCUCUGUUUUCGGUUCAAGAACCGUUCUCCCGUUAACAAGGUACAAAGUGUCCGAUGUCAUGAAAAAUAAACGCGCCAGAAGAUGCACUUUUAAUAAUCGACUGUUUUGUUUUGGACAUUUUUGGAGCGAAUGUUUUCUCUUGUCCUAAAGACGAAUUACCACUAUCCAAUUUAAUUUCCCGGGAAAUGGGAGGGCAUUACAAAUGAGUUCAAACGUAAAAAAGUAAAGAAGCUUGAUACUUUGGUUUUGUUGAAUUAAAAUUUACGUUUUAUUACUUCAAUAGAGGAAAUCUGCGCCAAUUUACAACAUAGGGUAAACUG